RNAcentral lists this transfer RNA (71 nucleotides) under Ornithorhynchus anatinus (platypus). It matches the Rfam family "tRNA". Rfam says of the family: Transfer RNA (tRNA) molecules are approximately 80 nucleotides in length. Their secondary structure includes four short double-helical elements and three loops (D, anti-codon, and T loops). Further hydrogen bonds mediate the characteristic L-shaped molecular structure. tRNAs have two regions of fundamental functional importance: the anti-codon, which is responsible for specific mRNA codon recognition, and the 3' end, to which the tRNAs corresponding amino acid is attached (by aminoacyl-tRNA synthetases). tRNAs cope with the degeneracy of the genetic code in two manners: having more than one tRNA (with a specific anti-codon) for a particular amino acid; and 'wobble' base-pairing, i.e. permitting non-standard base-pairing at the 3rd anti-codon position. The record is from Rfam by way of RNAcentral. Lineage: Eukaryota; Metazoa; Chordata; Mammalia; Monotremata; Ornithorhynchidae.
AGCAGUGUAGCCUAGUGGAAGAGCACGGGCCUGGGAGUCAGAGGACCUGGGUUCUAAUCCUGGCUCUGCUA